CCUACGGGAGGCUGCCGUGGGGAAUAUUGGACAAUGGGCGAAAGCCUGAUCCAGCCAUGCCGCGUGUGUGAAGAAGGCCUUCGGGUUGUAAAGCACUUUCAGUGGGGAAGAAAGCCUUGGGGCUAAUACCCUCGAGGAAGGACAUCACCCACAGAAGAAGCACCGGCUAACUCCGUGCCAGCAGCCGCGGUAAUACGGAGGGUGCGAGCGUUAAUCGGAAUUACUGGGCGUAAAGCGCGCGUAGGCGGUCUGAUAAGCCGGUUGUGAAAGCCCCGGGCUCAACCUGGGAACGGCAUCCGGAACUGUCAGGCUAGAGUGCAGGAGAGGAAGGUAGAAUUCCCGGUGUAGCGGUGAAAUGCGUAGAGAUCGGGAGGAAUACCAGUGGCGAAGGCGGCCUUCUGGACUGACACUGACGCUGAGGUGCGAAAGCGUGGGUAGCAAACAGGAUUAGAUACCCGAGUAGUC
RNAcentral lists this ribosomal RNA (465 nucleotides) under Vreelandella stevensii. Its description in RNAcentral is "partial 16S ribosomal RNA". It matches the Rfam family "Bacterial small subunit ribosomal RNA", at positions 338 to 795 of the family's 1533-position model. Lineage: Bacteria; Pseudomonadati; Pseudomonadota; Gammaproteobacteria; Oceanospirillales; Halomonadaceae. The record is from RNAcentral.